AAGAAGGGUUUCGGGGUUGUAAAUUUCUUUUAAGGGGGAAGAGGGGGAAGGAGGGUACCCCUAGAAUAAACCCACGGGCUAAAUUACGUGCCCAGCAACCCGCGGGUAUACGUAGGGUGGGCAAGCCGUUGCCGGGAUUUACUGGGUGUAAAGGGGGUGUAGCCCGGGGAGCAAGUCAGAUGUGAAAUCUAUGGGCUUAACCCAUAAACUGCAUUUGAAACUGUUCUUUCUUGAGUGCUGGAGGGGCAAUUCGGAAUUCCUUGUGUAGCGGUGAAAUGCGUAGAUAUAAGGAGGAACACCAGUGGCGAAGGCGGAUUGCUGGACAGUAACUGACGGUGAGGCGCGAAAGUGUGGGGAGCAAACAGGAUUAGAUACCCUGGUAGUCCACACUGUAAACGAUGAAUACUAGGUGUGCGGGGACUGACCCCCUGCGUGCCGCAGUAAACACAAUAAGUAUUCCACCUGGGGAGUACGAUCGCAAGGUUGAAACUCAAAGGAAUUGACGGGGGCCCGCACAAGCAGUGGAGUAUGUGGUUUAAUUCGAAGCAACGCGAAGAACCUUACCAGGGCUUGACAUACACAGGAAUACAUUAGAGAUAAUGUAGCUCUUCGGAGCCUGUGAACAGGUGGUGCAUGGUUGUCGUCAGCUCGUGUCGUGAGAUGUUGGGUUAAGUCCCGCAACGAGCGCAACCCCUAUUGUUAGUUGCCAGCAAGUAAAGUUGGGCACUCUAGCGAGACUGCCGUUGAUAAAACGGAGGAAGGUGGGGACGACGUCAAAUCAUCAUGCUCUUUAUGUCCUGGGCUACACACGUACUACAAUGGCAAGUACAGAGGGAAUCAAAACCGCGAGGUGGAGCAAAACCCAAAAACUUGUCUCAGUUCAGAUUGCAGGCUGAAAUUCGCCUGUAUGAAGAUGGAAUUGCUAGUAAUUGCAGGUCAGCAUACUGCAGUGAAUACGUUCUCGGGCCUUGCACACACCGCCCGUCA
This 987-nucleotide ribosomal RNA is filed under the name uncultured bacterium. RNAcentral describes it as "bacterial SSU rRNA". It matches the Rfam family "Bacterial small subunit ribosomal RNA", at positions 405 to 1399 of the family's 1533-position model. The record is from RNAcentral.